GGAUGAAUGCCAGGUGUCGGACAUCAAGGUGUUCAGUGGCGCAGUAAACGCAUUAAGCAUUCCGCUUGGGGAGUACGGUCGCAAGAUUAAAACUCAAAGGAAUUGACGGGGGCCCGCACAAGCGGUGGAGCAUGUGGUUCAAUUCGAAGCAACGCGAAGAACCUUACCAGGCCUUGACAUCCCGGUCGCGGCCUCCAGAAAGGGAGGCCUUCAGUUCGUCUGGACCGGUGACAGAUGCUGCAUGUCUGUCGUCAGCUCGAGUCGUGAGAUGUAGGGUUAAGUCCAGCAAAGAGCGCAACCCUCGCCCUUAGUAGCCAUCAUUGAGUUGGGCACUGUAGGGGGACUGCAGAUGAUAAGCCACGAGGAAGGUGGGGAUAAGGUCAAGUCCUCAUGGCCCUUACGGCCUGGGGUACACACGAGCUACAAUGGCGGUGACAAUGGGCAGCGAUGGCGCGAGCCUGAGCUAAUAUCAAAAAACCGUGUCAGUUCGGAUUGCACUAUUCAACUUGAGUGCAUGAAGUCGGAAUCGUAUAGUAAUCGUGGAUCAGCAUGCCACGGUGAAUACGUUCCCGGGCGUUGUACACACCGCCCGUCACACCAUGGGAGUUGGUUUUACCAGAAGGUGGUGCGCUAACCAGCAAUGGAGGCAACCAACCACGUUAGAUUCAACACCAGGAAUUCUAACAAAUAACCUA
This 695-nucleotide ribosomal RNA is filed under the name uncultured bacterium. RNAcentral's name for it is "bacterial SSU rRNA". It matches the Rfam family "Bacterial small subunit ribosomal RNA", at positions 807 to 1502 of the family's 1533-position model. The record is from RNAcentral.